GCGAGCGGGAGGGCGGCUUCCCAGCCCCUUGAGGGCUGGAGGAAACUCCGCCCACCAGGUGGACCGCGGCGCCGUAAGGCGCUGGGGGGAGACCCCCAAGGCCGGAGCAGAAACGACACGUCCCAACCCUCAUGGCUAUGAUGAGAUGCCAUCCAAGUCUUGGAGGACGGGUUGGGGAGCGUUGAAACGGCCGGCCCGCGGGGUGCAAGGGCAAAUAGGCGCCGAUGAAGCCCACCUGAGGUGCGGGUAGCCCGCAAAGUCGCAUGCCGCCCAGAACAGAAGGCGGGUUACUCCCCGCACGC
Molecule: RNase P RNA, 302 nt
Filed under: Candidatus Bathyarchaeota archaeon
Lineage: Archaea; Thermoproteati; Candidatus Bathyarchaeota
Description: RNase P RNA component
Rfam family: Archaeal RNase P
About the family: Ribonuclease P (RNase P) is a ubiquitous endoribonuclease, found in archaea, bacteria and eukarya as well as chloroplasts and mitochondria.
Source: RNAcentral